CCACCAUUGCUGUCCCUCAGGGCACCAGAAAUGCAAGUUCCUCUGUCUGUGUGGAAUACUUUGAGGGUAUCAGGCCAGAAGGGGGCACUACAGCACUACAUGUAGAAAGAUGAAAUGACAUCAGAGUGAUAAGCAUUGGACAGGUGUCUGGAUGUUGUAGAAAACAAUUCCACGAAAGGGGAGUGGUGGCAAUAUGUAAAAGCAAGUGACAUUUCUUCCCUACCCAUCUUCCAGAAAAAGAGGAAUUGAUUCCUGAUGGAUUCCUGGAAAUUUUCUCACCCUAUGGGGACUCCCAGAGGCAGGGGAAUCUCUGUGUCCAAGGCCACCUUGUCUCAAAAAGGUAAUCAAGCGAGAACAAAUAGCAACAACAACAAUAACAAAACAAAAGCUAUGUAGAUGCUGUUCUGGAAGAUGACACUGAGGAUGCCUGGUGUCUGCUGGACUCUAUAUGCAAAUGCUUAUUCACUAAAAAAGACUUCCUGUCAUCAAUUUACAAUCAAGACAACCCCCACGGACAUGCCUGAAGGCCAACUUGAUCUAGAUAAUUUUUCACUAAGAAUCUUCUUGGGUAAUUAUAGAUUAUGUCACCUUGGAGGUUAAAACAAACCAGCACAAUGUGAAUCAGCAUUUCCUGCCUUUUCACAACCAGGCAACACUCCACUAUAUGAACGCACCACUUUGGUUUAUCCAUUCCUCUGUUCAUGAACUGUGAGGUUUCCUCUACCAUAGGGUUUAUGAAUAAUGAAUGACGCUCUGACUAUCAGCA
Long non-coding RNA from Mastomys coucha (southern multimammate mouse), 766 nucleotides. RefSeq lists it as uncharacterized. The transcript has 4 exons. The record is from RefSeq and is a predicted model, not a curated record. NCBI's taxonomy places the organism in Eukaryota, Metazoa, Chordata, Mammalia, Rodentia, Muridae.